GAGAAGAACGUAGCGAAAUGCGAUACGUAAUGUGAAUUGCAGAAUUCAGUGAAUCAUCGAAUCUUUGAACGCAUAUUGCGCUCUCUGGUAUUCCGGAGAGCAUGCUUGUUUGAGUAUCAGUAAACACCUCAACUUCCAUAUCUUUUUUGAAAUGGGAGUUGGACUUGAGUGAUCCCAACGCUUUUCCUCACCGAAAAGUGGCGGGUUACUUGAAAUGCAGGUGCAGCUGGACUUUUCUCUGAGCUAUAAGCAUAUCUAUUUAGUCUGCCUAAAAAACAGAUUAUUACCUUUGCUGCAGCUAACAUAAAGGAGAUUAGUUCUUGUGCUGACUGAUGCAGGAUUCACAAAGACAGGCUUCGGCCGACUUUGUAAACUCGAUCUCAAAUCAAGUAAGACUACCCGCUGAACUUAAGCAUAUCAAUAAGCGGAGGA
RNAcentral lists this unclassified non-coding RNA (432 nucleotides) under soil metagenome. Its description in RNAcentral is "partial contains 5.8S ribosomal RNA, internal transcribed spacer 2, and large subunit ribosomal RNA". The stretch from base 3 to 119 matches the Rfam family "5.8S ribosomal RNA", at positions 38 to 154 of the family's 154-position model. The record is from RNAcentral.